CACCGAGGGGAAAUGCACCAAGCUGACACCCACCAGGUUGUUGUUGUUUAGUCGUUUAGUCGUGUCCGCCUCUUCGUGACCCCCUGGACCAGAGCACGCCAGGCCCUCCUGUCUUCCACUGCCUCCCGCAGUUGGGUCAAACUCAUGCUGGUAGCUUCGAGAACACUGUCCCACCAUCUCGUCCUCCGUCGUCCCCUUCUCCUUGUGCCCUCCAUCUUUCCCAACAUCAGGGUCUUUUCCAGGGAGUCUUCUCUUCUCAUGAGGUGGCCAAAGUCUUGCAGCCUCAGCUUCAGGAUCUGUCCUUCCAGUGAGCACUCAGGGCUGAUUUCCUUAAGAAUGGAGAGGUUGGAUCUUCUUGCAGUCCAUGGGACUCUCAAGAGUCUCCUCCAGCACCA
This is a non-coding RNA of Podarcis lilfordi (Lilford's wall lizard), 395 nucleotides long. The record is from the annotation of a GenBank genome assembly. NCBI's taxonomy places the organism in Eukaryota, Metazoa, Chordata, Lepidosauria, Squamata, Lacertidae.